AUUAGUGAGUAAUUUUCUCGUUUCCUUGUUAUUGUUGUUUGAUUAAUAGCCUUAAUAUGACAUAGCCUACUAGACAGUGCUCAAUUCGGAUACAUGUACACUUCAAGUCUGACAUUUUGAUACAAAUACGCUUUUUGUCCCACUGUUUACGUCCACUUUAGACCAAACCGACUGUGUUUACAUUAAUGCCUCAUCAAGACGGGCAUUGGCGGAAUUAUAAAGUGUAUUUGAUCGCUCUAGGAAUACACGCGCAUGUAAAGCGUACAAACAUUAACCGCCUGUCAAUCAAACAGCACGCAGCUACAGACGUCAGGAAAUAAAAAGUCAAUCUUUUAUAAUUUAUUAAGAUCAACCAACCAGUGGUUGUCUUGCUAUCGUGAUCGAUGUAAUGAACACCCCUGGUCUAGAUGUAGAACAUAGGCUAAGUAUAGAAAAUUAUUCAAAAGUUUAUCAUCCAUAUCUCUCUUUUUUUUUCAGAUAAACAUCAAGAUUGUUUUAUCGCCCAGCCCUAUUGAUAACACUAUUGAUAACAUUGCCUUAAUCUCUCACAUUAACCCAAUAAACUCAGUGAUAGAUAGUUAAAUUAUAGGCUACGUUACAGACAAACAGAAUCUAGUAAGCAAAAAUAUGAAAUUUACUUAGAUAUGUUUCUUCAAAUUAGAGGCAGGAUUAAUGGCUUGAGCAAGUUAAACUUACAUGACCCAAUCAAGCAAUUGGCCUUUUUCACUGCGAAAAGCCCUUCCAGGUGUGGCCGAGAUGUUCAGGUGUUGAAAUGUGUUUGAGGCAUCCUCCACAUCUAUAACAGUUGGCCGCUGAUCAAGUUUUUUACAUGUGAUUUGAUUUGACGGGAGUCAUAAGACACUCCCUAGCCAGUCAUGUUGAUAGAUAAAAAUAAAUUCAGGACAGGGAAGUAGAGAACACAGAUGGUGGGAAAACAGUGCAAGCACUUAAAAUGUACUCAAGUAGAAGUAAAAGUAUAACAUUUUUAAACUACUUAAAAAAGUACAAUUCCUGGGAAAAACUACUUAAUUACAGUAAUGUGAGUAUUUGUAAUUUGUUACUUUACACCCCUGCACAUGACAAAGACAACCAAUGGCAAGACUUAACUAAUAACAAGGUAACAAGACUACUAAAACAUGAACCAAUGAAAAUACAAGACUGAUAACAAGUUAACAAGACAAUACACCAAUGAGAACAAGACACAUGAACAUGAGGAAAACAGGAUAUCACAUGACAUUGGUUGUCUGACACAUGACCAGAAUAAGGAACAGGAAGUUAACUAAUUUCAAAAUAAAGACAUGAAAACAAAACAUCAACAAAAACACAUUUAUACGUGACAAUGUGACAUGCAACAAAAGACCUCUCUGAUAAUCAUCACAGCAAUGGCUGCAACACGUCUUAUCCUGUUCCUGUUGCUGACGGCAUGCUGCAUGAGUGUUUGUAGCUUGCUAGCCUGCUUAGCAUUGCUUAUUCUUAUUCUUAUACGUUCAUCGUUUUAUCCUUUGCCAUUUAACCGCUUGGUUCGGGUUUUUCUGCUUUUCUACUGCUUUUCAUCUGGGUAUAUUUUAUGUGCUCGUUUUUUACUUUAGUUUUUUUUUUCUGCUUGUCUACAUCUCGCAUCUCAACUGCGUGCAUUCGUUUUCUCCACUGUGUUUUACACAGAUUAUUGCAUCAAUCACAAACAUCUGCUGACUAGGAACCACAUCGAUCUCAAACCCUCACCGCUCAAGAACAACCACAAAAACAACAACAACAACAAACAAUUGUGUUACCAGAUCCAGCCAGAUCCAGCUCCGUUCCUGCUUGGUGUCAGACUCCACUGCUAUGUGUCACUGAAAGAUGAUGACAAACUACAGCCGGUGUCAGCCAGACAUCACUUCAGUCUUUUGACUUCAGAGGAUGAAAUGAUGCCAACUCCAACUGUGAGACAUGGAAUACUUCAUAUGCCACUGCCUGAACCUUGGUCUUAGGAUGGACCCCACUGAACCUCACCGAAAUGACCUGCAGGUUGAACUGCGAUACACCUCACUGAUCUCUGCCUGCAUCACCUUUGUCUGUUGAUGGAAUACACUCUUGAAAUGGAAUACAAAGACUAUAAUUUAAUUGCCAACAAAAGCCUUCAUCAGCCAACUAACAAAGGACAGUGCAUCAAUGUGAACUUCUGCCAUUAAUCCAGGAUGGACUUCAAAGACAUUAGUCAUUAAUCUUAAAGUAAAAAAAAAAAAAUAUAUAUAUAUAUAUAUUUAUAUUAUUAUUAUUAUUAUUAUUAUUUAAACAAUGGACCUUAACGCUUAAUUUACAAAUUUAAAACCAUGACUUGCACUGCACAUAAAUAACUAAUAUUGGCAUUAUAUUCAUGUUGUUUAGCCAGAGGGGAACUGGCCCCCACAGUGAGCCUGGUUUCUCCCAAGGUUAUUUUUCUCCAUUAACCAACAUUUUAUGGCGUUUUUUGUUCCUUGCCCACAGUCGCCUUCAGCUUGCUCAUAGGGGUUCUAAAUAUAAUUAUUAUUUAAUUAUUUAAUUUCUGUACACAAUUUACAAUCAUAUUUAAUCAAACUACACAAUAAUCACUCUAAGACUUUAUCGAUAUUACAGUUUAUUUUUUGUUAAUGCAUGAUUUCCUGUAAAGCUGCUUUGAAACGAUGUGUGUUGUGAAAAGCACUAUACAAAUAAAAAUUACUUGACUUGA
Myxocyprinus asiaticus (Chinese sucker) is the source of this 2689-nucleotide long non-coding RNA. RefSeq lists it as uncharacterized. The transcript has 2 exons. NCBI's taxonomy places the organism in Eukaryota, Metazoa, Chordata, Actinopteri, Cypriniformes, Catostomidae. The record is from RefSeq and is a predicted model, not a curated record.